Molecule: unclassified non-coding RNA, 267 nt
Filed under: uncultured fungus
Lineage: Eukaryota; Fungi
Description: partial contains small subunit ribosomal RNA, internal transcribed spacer 1, and 5.8S ribosomal RNA
Rfam family: Eukaryotic small subunit ribosomal RNA (bases 1-73)
Source: RNAcentral
ACAAACUUGGUCAUUUAGAGGAAGUAAAAGUCGUAACAAGGUUUCCGUAGGUGAACCUGCGGAAGGAUCAUUACUGAGUGAGGGUCUUCACGGCCCGACCUCCAACCCUUUGUGUAUUGACUCUGUUGCUUCGGCGGCGCGGGCCUCUGGCCGGCCGCCGACAGCCUCCACAAACUCUGUACCAAAUUGUCUAAAUAUUGUAUCUUUAAUACAAGCAAAACUUUCAACAACGGAUCUCUUGGUUCUGGCAUCGAUGAAGAACGCAGC